UGGGGAAUAUUGGGCAAUGGGCGCAAGCCUGACCCAGCCAUGCCGCGUGAGUGAUGAAGGCCUUCGGGUCGUAAAGCUCUGUGGGGAGGGAAGAAACCCGGUGUAGCUAAUACCUACGCCGAUUGACGGUACCUCCUUAGCAAGCACCGGCUAACUCCGUGCCAGCAGCCGCGGUAAUACGGAGGGUGCAAACGUUGCUCGGAAUCAUUGGGCGUAAAGCGCACGUAGGCGGCUCGUUAAGUCGGAUGUGAAAGCCCUGGGCUCAACCCAGGAAGUGCAUACGAAACUGGCGAGCUUGAGUAUGGAAGAGGGUCGCGGAAUUCCCGGUGUAGAGGUGAAAUUCGUAGAUAUCGGGAGGAACACCAGUGGCGAAGGCGGCGACCUGGGCCAAUACUGACGCUGAGGUGCGAAAGCGUGGGGAGCAAACA
This 428-nucleotide ribosomal RNA is filed under the name uncultured Haliangium sp. Its description in RNAcentral is "bacterial SSU rRNA". It matches the Rfam family "Bacterial small subunit ribosomal RNA", at positions 355 to 774 of the family's 1533-position model. The record is from RNAcentral. Lineage: Bacteria; Pseudomonadati; Myxococcota; Haliangiales; Kofleriaceae.